CUGACUGCCACUGGGGAAGGAUCUCUGAUUGGAGAUCCCUUCCGUGUGGAAUUUUCCCUGCAAACCUACCUCUUCAGUGAUGGGAUGAGGCUACACCAGCUGACAAGCAGUACAAACAGGAGCCAGCCCAGGUCACUUACUCUACGUCAGCUGUUUCCAGCACACAGGAGGUGUUGUACAUUAAUGGAAAUGGGACCUACAGUUACCAUAGUUACAGAGGGCUCGGAGGUGGGCUGCUAAAUCUCAACGAUGCUUCUAGCAGUGAUCUGCAGCCAACUUCCACUACAGCCACAACUCAGCACUGCCUCCCAGGCUCCACGAACGUCCAGUCUCCUUCCAACUCAGGUCCAACAGAUCUCAGUAUGAAGAGGCAGUUAGCAAGCAGCUCAGGCUCCUCCAGCAGUACAAGCUCCAGGCCCCAGCUGAGCCCCACUGAGAUCAACGCUGUGAGGCAGCUGGUGGCAGGGUACAGGGAAUCAGCUGCCUUUUUAUUGCGUUCUGCAGAUGAACUGGAAAACCUGAUUUUGCAGCAGAACUGAGUCAUGUGACCUACACACUGGCCUGGUCUUAUCUCAGAGUUUCCACUAAUGACAUUUUGAUUUCCCAGAGCACACACUUCAGUUACCGCGCAGUCUUUUAGGAGAGUUAAUUACCAUAAUGCCACACUGUUCUUGAUCCAUAAAGUGAUGUGUUAAGGUGCUUCAAGUGAACUUCGACCUCUGGUAUUUCUGAGGUACUUUACUGUGUCCAGCCUAUUGCUUUUGUUUUAGUGUGUCAGCAUAAAACAGUGGCUAGAAAUUAACUCGUUCUAACACGUGGAGGAAACAGAAGAUGCUGUGAUGUUUUUUUGAAAAAUGGUUCAAGAUCCAAGUGCAAUAUUAGUGGAAUGUGAUACUGACUCAUUGGACUUAAAGCUGCAGUAUAUGGCAAACUGUUGCCAAAUGUCCUGUUGCUACAGGGCACAAUUGCAAUUAAAAGGAUCUUGUAUUUUAAAAAAAUGUAAUUUUUAUAAAAAGCAAAACAAAAGAUUUUUCGUUUUCAUUCAAGAUUUUUCAUUUUUACUUUGGUAAACUUUUUCACUGAUCCUGAAAACGUUUUGAGGAGCUAUUGUAAGUCCCCCUUCCUCUCUUGAACCCCUGACUGUGCCCUUCUCCCCAACUUCAUAUUCUUUCUACAGUGAGUAACUCUUGAUGCUGGAUAAUUCUCCCCUGUGUACUGUAAAUUGUCAUCUACAGAAUACCUUCCAAAGGAAGCAUGCAUUUCCUGCAUUCAUACCAUUCUCAGCUCCAUUCUGUAAUAUAUUGCAGCUUUAUUAGCAAUUAAUAAAAAGUUGAGGGUUUUUUAAAAAAACAACAUAUCAUUGAGAAAACAAAACUAGAAGUUGAUUUCUUACAGUGAGCUCAUCUAACUCCAUGAUCACUGCUGCUGUCCCGGACAAGUCCCUCUAGUUGUGAUUGGAUAUAGGUGAUGAAUGUUAAGAGGUUGCAAGUGACAAUCUGAAAAUUUGCACUCUUGUGUGUAUUUAUUAUUUUUUCCUUAAUUUAAACAAAAUUCUUGUGGAGGAAGGUCACUGACACUUCUGGUAUGAUUUGUAUAAUGCCCAGGCCUAGCUAAAAACUGUACAAAAAUGUAAAUGGAUGCAGCUGCAACUAUACUGAAACUCUUCUCUCUCCCUCACCCCCCACUCUUCCCAACCCCUCUAUUUCUUAUUUUAUAAUAUUGAUUACACAUUAAUGGUGUUUUCUUUGUGCACUAUGGCAGGUUUAUUUUUAAGUAUAUAGAAAAAGUAAUUUAGUUUAUGCUUACUGUACUAUCUGUUCUGUUGUUUGGCUUUUGUUGAAUAACAAUUUUCUUGUGCAUUCCUAAAUUUGCCUUAUUUCAUGUACAAAAUUUUAUGUAAUUCCAUUUUUUGACAAUGAGUUUAAGGCAUCGGUGAUAUUUUAUAUCUACUUGUUACAUAUAGUUUUCCAAGUAAUGACUGUGAUUGUGACCAAGUAAUGUGCACUUUUUCUUGUAACUGUGGACAUUGCUAUGCUUUUUUUUCUCUAGUGUUUCUAGAAUUACUGUUGCUUACAGUUAUGUAAAAGAAAAAGAACUUUUGUGAUACUGUUGGUGAAUAUUAAUGUGAAAAAGCCUAUGAAAUAUGAGUAUUUUGAAGGUAACAUAGAUACACAAACAUCUCUAAGUUGUGAACUGAUGUUCACAUAUUUAAAUGGGAAUUCAAAACCUGAGGGCUGGAAUCAUUUCCUCUGUUUCGUUUGGGUAAAUAAACAUAUUUCUGUGUUUAAAUACAUGAUUGUGAAACAUUAUAACAUUUAAAUUGCCAUAACAUUUAAAGUUAUAAGGAUUAUUCUCUUUAGACAGGGAAAACAGAUUUCCAGUCCAAUUCAUGCAGACAGCCAAAACUCAUUUCUCAAAAUAAUUGGGUAAAUUCAGUAGGCUUAUCAAGCUGGAGCUUUGUUUUAAUGAAGAAUUUCCUCAAUAAGACUAGAAGUAUGUGGUCCAUAAAUCAUAGGACCCAAGUCACUAACAUUUUAUAAUAUUAAAUUGGCUGGAGGCAACACCAUUUUGCUACUCUGCAUUUAUUUAAGAAAACAACAACAACAAGAAAACCUGUUGGGUGUCUAUUUUAAAGGCACUUAUUCUUCUAUAUGAGAAUAUUGUUUCAAUUCCUUACUAGCUGCUAACCUAUCACUUGAGAAAUGCAUUUACUUCCCACAUCUACUCACAAUGUUUGUGAAAGCCUGUAGCUUGUCUCUCCUAGAAGUGUGAUUCCCUCAGCUUCUGUCUCUCUAGACAUUCAAAAGUCUAUUAGGAUCGAAGUGUUCUUUUCUCUCUUCUACUUUUAUUUAGCUCCAACUUAUUCUGUCUCUUGCUUGUCAGAGGGGAAAAAGCAGGUACCCUGUGGCAGAUUGCUAUGUUACUGAACCAAAGGACAACACUGGCACAUGUUUUCCAUAAAGAAUGGUGAAGUGAAAAUUACACAUAGGUUUCAUUAGUCCUGUCUUGUACGGCCAGUAUGCAGCAACCAACAGCUUGUCCAGAAGGCUGCUUCCCAGCCAGGAAUACUUCUCAACUGGACAGCCUCAGUACUUUCUGAGAUGCUUUGCUAAAUCCAAAUAAAUAUGUUAGGGAAAGAGAUUUAUGUCAGUGGCCUACCCUCUGGAUCCUUUUUCCAACUGAAAUUCCUUCACUUGAAGGAGAAGUAGGAAAGUUACGGGUUAGAAAAUGACCUUCAAGGCCUGCAGCUAGCCUUUCCCUUUUUCUGCUCUACCCCCAACCUACAUUAAGCAUUCUCCAAGUAUGUCUUCUAUACCACAUCCUCUUCUUCUGGAUGCUUUCUCUUAAGUGUUUAGGGCCUCCUUCAAUUUUAGAGGCAAUUUUAGAUGCAUCCUCCUUUAAAUGUUCACACAGAUACAUAGCUUUCAGCCCAAGUGCUUUAUCUGUGCCAAAUUCCAGCAGACUAAUGGAGUUUUUAAUCUACAGCUGCUUCUACCUCUGUGUACUGGGUUUAUUCGUUUCUUCUUUGGAUGAAUCAUAGAUUCAGUCAUAACUUCCUUUUCUAAGAGGGUACUGAAAUUCAAUCCCAUCCUGUGAAGGAGAGACUAUAAAUCUCAGUCCAUUUUUGUGUGUACAAAUAUAGACCCAAGCAUCACAAUCAAAUUUGCUCUCUUGAAUCCAGUACAGGUCUCACAGCUACCAAUUGUCUGCUUGCCCUGAACCUCCUAAGGAAGUAAUGGCUCAGGUGAAGAGCUCCCUCAAGCCACAGACUGAAUAAGGUAUCCAAAAAUAACUUCAGAGAAAUCUUUUUCUUAGCCACAUCUUCUGUAAUCAAUGCCCUAUAAACUCAGUCUAAAUACUGCUAUUAGGAUAAGGCCAAUCCCUUCCAGUACAGGCACAUCUCUGAGUAUUCCUGCCUAAGUCUGCCUUCAGAAAAGCAUUCCCAUUAUGUCCAGAGCUGUUAUUGUACCAAGCUGAUGUAUGGCUCGGUACACCUCAUCCAUGCAGACUGUAGAGACAGCCCCACAUCUUUCCAGCUACCCUUCAGUUUCCUGUCCUGCAAAACCGUCAGUCUUCCAGUGAGUUUCUGGAAGAGGAAGUCUUACAGGAGAAUGUCCUUUAAUAUCCUUAAAUUCCCAUUUUAUCUGGGGCCCUGAGUGCCAAACUUGACAAUGUUGUCAGUGCAUUGGGCCUCAUUAGUCUUAACUAUUCACACUGGGGAGGCAAGUUGUUAUUCUCUCUUCAAAUUCUAGGGUGGUUUUUGUUGAUAGGGCAGGCAGCUGGGCAAGAGCUUUAGAAACAACCUUAGACUGUGGGAGUGGGAAAUGCUACCAGCUUAGUAACUUACUAGAUUUGUUUACUGUACUUGACAUUGUCAGCUGGAAAACUAGAGACAGAACACAUGAAGAAAGAUCUGUGGUCAAAUUAUUUCUUCUAGGUUGGCACCUUGCUCCUUGUCGUCAAAGAACAUCACUGUCUCAGCUAUGAUGAACAUCUCAAGCUUCAGAAAACCAGUGCAUGAAUAAGCAAGUUGCCUUUCCCUUAUGGACAAUCUUCUGAAUGAGGAAAAACAGAUGAGCACAUAUAUGACCAUAGUUGCAAAAAUGAUCAGAAAGCAGCUAUACUGAAGGAAUUGGAUAUUCUUCCUUGAAGGAUCUGAGUACCUACUGACAACAUUAAGUGGAGGUAAUUUUGUUGCUGAAAUUCUAUUCAAACUUGGAGAAAAUUUGUUUUUCCUCAAGUUCCUAUCCCUGUGUUAAAAAAACCUACUAUAAAGUUCUAAAAUCCUCCUAGUUUGAGACGCUUGUCAGUCAUUCAUAAUGAAGAUGUUUACUUUCUACAUAAAACUGAGCAUAUUGGAGACUGGAGUCAGGACUACCCUGACAUCCACUACUGAAAACCAAUUACUGGCACAUGAAAAUGAAUUCUGAAAUAAUGACACAAAUCAAGUAAUGCCACACAGAUGAUUACUGAAGUAAGUACCUAAGAAUAUGAAAUGACUCUGUGGGAGAAGAUCUAUCUUGCACUUGGCCUUGUAUCCUGGCUCUAAUAAUAAAUAAAACAGAUAAAGAUGCAAAUACAGCAAUUCAGAAGAAUAGAUCAGGCAUAGAGCAGUGCUUUUAGAAUACACAUUCAUGGCCUUCAACAGUUUAAGGCUGUAGCAGGUAAGUUUCCAUCCUGUUACUCGCUCAUUACUCCCA
Molecule: non-coding RNA, 5201 nt
Organism: Meleagris gallopavo (turkey)
Lineage: Eukaryota; Metazoa; Chordata; Aves; Galliformes; Phasianidae
Source: RefSeq, a predicted model, not a curated record